Molecule: ribosomal RNA, 484 nt
Filed under: uncultured bacterium
Lineage: Bacteria
Description: partial 16S ribosomal RNA
Rfam family: Bacterial small subunit ribosomal RNA
Source: RNAcentral
AUUGAACGCUGGCGGCAGGCCUAACACAUGCAAGUCGAGCGGAUGAAGGGAGCUUGCUCCUGGACUCAGCGGCGGACGGGUGAGUAAUGCCUAGGAAUCUGCCUGGUCGCGGGGGAUAACGUCCGGAAACGGGCGCUAAUACCGCAUACGUCCUGAGGUAGAAAUUGGGGGGUCUUCGGACCUCUCGCUAUCAGAUGAGACUAGGUCGGAUUAGCUAGUUGGUGGGGUAAAGGCUUACCAAGGCGACGAUCCGUAACUGGUCUGAGAGGAUGAUCAGUCACAUUGGAAGAGAGACACGGUCGAGACACCUGCGGUAGGAAGCAGUGGGGAAUAUUGGACGAUGGGCGAAAGCCUGAUCCAGCCAUGCCGCGUGUGGGAAGAAGGUGUUCGGAUUGUAGAGCACUGUAAGUUGGGGGGAAGUACAGUAAGUUCAUACCUUGCUGUAUUGACGGUACCAACAGAAUAAGCACCGGCUAACUUCGUG